Lachancea thermotolerans CBS 6340 is the source of this 167-nucleotide non-coding RNA. NCBI's taxonomy places the organism in Eukaryota, Fungi, Ascomycota, Saccharomycetes, Saccharomycetales, Saccharomycetaceae. The record is from Rfam.
AACUAUAACAGUCGAUGAGGAUAGGUUUAAAGUUCAGAAAAAUUCCAAUAGUUACCCUUUCAAAGAUUUCUGCAUUUAUGCAGAGGUGUUUUGGAGUGGGUCGAUGAGGAAUGCGCUGCGGCCCUUUCACCACCUUCGUAGCGGCGCUUAAUAGACUACUGAGGCUG